RNAcentral lists this ribosomal RNA (256 nucleotides) under uncultured bacterium. RNAcentral's name for it is "partial 16S ribosomal RNA". It matches the Rfam family "Bacterial small subunit ribosomal RNA", at positions 99 to 354 of the family's 1533-position model. The record is from RNAcentral.
CGGACGGGUGGAGUAACGCGUGGACAACCUACCCCGCACUGGGGGACAACAGCCGGAAACGGCUGCUAAUACCGCAUAUGCGCACGGCCCCGCAUGGGGCCGCGCGGAAAGCGCAUGCGGUGCGGGAUGGGUCCGCGUCUGAUUAGCUUGUUGGCGGGGUAACGGCCCACCAAGGCGACGAUCAGUAGCCGGCCUGAGAGGGUGGACGGCCACAUUGGGACUGAGACACGGCCCAGACUCCUACGGAAGGCAGCAG